Molecule: ribosomal RNA, 497 nt
Filed under: uncultured bacterium
Lineage: Bacteria
Description: partial 16S ribosomal RNA
Rfam family: Bacterial small subunit ribosomal RNA
Source: RNAcentral
GAUGAACGCUGGCGGCGUGCCUAAUACAUGCCAGUCGAGCGAACAGACGAGGAACUUUCUCCUCUGACGUUAGCGGCGGACGGGGGAGUAACACGUGGGUAACCUACCUAUAAGACUGGGAUAAAUUAGGGAAACCGGAACUAAUACCGGAAAAAAUAUUCAACCGCAUGGUUCAAUAGUGAAAGACGGUUUUGCAGUCACUUAUAGAUGGAUCCGCGCCGCAUUAGCUAGUUGGUAAGGUAACGGCUUACCAAGGCAACGAUGCGUAGCCGACCUGAGAGGGUGAUCGGCCACACUGGAACUGAGACACGGUCCAGACUCCUACGGGAGGCAGCAGUAGGGAAUCUUCCGCAAUGGGCGAAAGCCUGACGGAGCAACGCCGCGUGAAUGAUGAAGGUCUUCGGAUCGUAAAGCUCUGUUAGUAGGGAAGAACAAAUGUGUAAGUAACUAUGCACGUAUUGACGGUACCUAAUCAGAAAGCCACGGCUAACUCCGUG